RNAcentral lists this ribosomal RNA (306 nucleotides) under uncultured bacterium. RNAcentral describes it as "bacterial SSU rRNA". It matches the Rfam family "Bacterial small subunit ribosomal RNA", at positions 29 to 330 of the family's 1533-position model. The record is from RNAcentral.
AACGAACGCUGGCGGCGCGCCUAAUACAUGCAAGUCGAGCGAGAAGACGUAGCAAUACGUUUGUAAAGCGGCGAACGGGUGAGGAAUACAUGGGUAACCUACCCUCGAGUGGGGAAUAACUAGCCGAAAGGUUAGCUAAUACCGCGUACGCUUCUUGGACUUCGGUUCAGGGAGGAAAGCGAUACCGUGGGUAUCGCGCUCUUGGAUGGGCUCAUGUCCUAUCAGCUUGUUGGGAGGUACGCUCACCAAGCUCGACGGUAGCUGGUCUGAGAGGACGAUCAGCCACACUGGCACUGCGACGACGGG